CUGGAAGGUAAGGCUGCGCUGGCAUCCAAAAAACUCGGUGUACUCAAUAAAGCGAGGCGAUACUUUACUCCGGGGCAAAGACUGCUGCUUUAUAAAUCGCAAGUCAGACCCCAUAUGGAGUACUGCUGUCACCUUUGGGCAGGAGCAUCUGGAUGCCAGCUUGGACCCUUCGACUCAGUCCAAAGACGCGCUGUGCGAAUCGUCGAUGAUCCCAAACUCACAAGCGGUAUUGAACCUUUAAGUCUAAGGAGAGACUUUGCCUCCUUGUGUGUAUGCCAACGGCGGCCGCUUUCUAUCACCGCACCGCUCGCCGUCGGCAGGGCGUUCAUCCUCACACCCUAGAACCUAAAUGGUCGCGUACUGUGCGAUUUACGAGGAAUUUCCUCCUGCGGACGCUCCGGCUGUGGAAUGAGCUCCCUUCCGAGGUUUUCCCGAGGGUCUACAGUAUGGGGUUCUUCAAAAAAGGAGUGUACAGGUUUUUAAAAGGUCGGCAACGCGCAUGUAACACCUCUGGAGUUGCAGGCGUCCAUAGGCUACGG
This is a long non-coding RNA of Cydia splendana, 539 nucleotides long. RefSeq lists it as uncharacterized. NCBI's taxonomy places the organism in Eukaryota, Metazoa, Arthropoda, Insecta, Lepidoptera, Tortricidae. The record is from RefSeq and is a predicted model, not a curated record. The transcript is spliced from 2 exons.